This 503-nucleotide ribosomal RNA is filed under the name uncultured bacterium. RNAcentral describes it as "bacterial SSU rRNA". It matches the Rfam family "Bacterial small subunit ribosomal RNA", at positions 21 to 518 of the family's 1533-position model. The record is from RNAcentral.
GGUUCAGGAUGAACGCUAGCGGCAGGCCUAACACAUGCAAGUCGCGGGGCAGCACGGGUAGCAAUACCUGGUGGCGACCGGCGCACGGGUGCGUAACGCGUAUGCAACCUGCCCCCAUCAGGGGAAUAGCCCGCCGAAAGGCGGAUUAAUGCCCCAUAGGCCCAGGGCGCCGCAUGGCGCUAUGGGUAAAGCUCCGGCGGAUGGGGAUGGGCAUGCGUGCCAUUAGCUAGUUGGGGCGGUAACGGCGCACCAAGGCGACGAUGGCUAGGGGGUCUGAGAGGAUGGUCCCCCACACUGGUACUGAGACACGGACCAGACUCCUACGGGAGGCAGCAGUGAGGAAUAUUGGUCAAUGGGCGGAAGCCUGAACCAGCCAAUGCCGCGUGCAGGAUGACGGCCCUACGGGUUGUAAACUGCUUUUCCCCGGGAAGAAUAAGCCCCGCGUGAGGGGUGAUGCCGGUACCGGGGGAAUAAGGAUCGGCUAACUCCGUGCCAGCCGCCGC